This 220-nucleotide ribosomal RNA is filed under the name uncultured bacterium. Its description in RNAcentral is "partial 16S ribosomal RNA". It matches the Rfam family "Bacterial small subunit ribosomal RNA", at positions 28 to 220 of the family's 1533-position model. The record is from RNAcentral.
GACGAACACUGGCGGCAUGCCUAAUACAUGCAAGUCGAACGAGCUUCCGUUGAAUGACGUGUUUGCACUGAUUCCAACAAUGAAGCGAGUGGCGAACUGGUGAGUAACACGUGGGAAAUCUGCCCAGAAGCAGGGGAUAACACUUGGAAACAGGUGCUAAUACCGUAUAACAACAAAAUCCGCAUGGAUUUUGUUUGAAAGGUGGCUUCGGCUAUCACUU